CCUGGGGACGGCCGGAGAGAGUCAGACACAGACAGACAGAGAGUUCUGCAUCUUGAAUGCCAGAAAUGGGGGCCUAGCAGGCUGGAAAGUGACCCCCAAAAAUACAAAGUCGUCAUUCCUGGAAGCUGUGAACCUUCCCUCAUUUGGAAAAAGAGCCCCUAUAGAUUUAAGUUAAGGAUCGUAACACAGGGAAGAUUUAUCCUGAAGUAUUCGGGUGGGUCCUAUAUGUCUCCACAGCGACCUUCCGAGAGGGAGGCAGAGGGAGAUUUGACCACAACAGGAGGAGAGCCCAGUGACCGUGAAGGCAGAGAUCGGGGCAAUGUGGCCACGGCCGGGGAAAGCCAGCGGCCACCGGAAGGCAAGGACCGGCUGCCCCCCCGCCGGCCUCCGGAGGAAGCAGGGCCCUGCCGCACCGGGAUCCGGGCCAGGCGAGGCCGAUCCGGAGCCCUGGCUCCGAAGGGGAGAGAACGCAUUUCUGCGGCUCUGAGCCACCAGGUGCGCGAUCGUCUGUUACAGCGGCCGCGGGAAACCGGAACAGAUCUGACAAUCAGGAGGUGGAGCGUCGCCAUAAGAAACUCGCACAAAUGUGGAGAUGGCCUUGGAACCGGGCAACGGGCGGAGACCGGAAGGACGCUGGGGACGCGAGGGACAACGUCCGAGGGGCCUUGAACAGACUGCGGAAGUACAAGGAGGAAGGGGCACAACAGCUUUCAAAAAGCACCAACCCAGAAUUGAACACCCAGCAGACGCAUGGCUCAGUCAGACGUUCUCGGACGAAAGAAAACGGAGGGAAUCUGUCACCCACAGGACUGCCCUACGAGGGUGGAUAAAGGUCGUUCUCUAAGCAGGAGCGAAGUGAUGGACGGUGGAAAGGUUGAACAGCAGAAGGAAGGAAGAAUGACAGAACGGGUAAACGGAACUCUGGAAAAAUGUUCAAGUCACCUGGAAAGGCAGGAAAAGAAAAACCUUAAAACGGAAAGAUGUGAUGGCGGACUUAAGUCCUAACAUCAAAACUCACCUGAAAUAUGGUGUCGUAAAUACACCAGUUUGAAAAGACACAGGUUUUGCAGAGUGGAUGGAAAGAGUAAGACCCGGUUAUUCAUUGUCUACAAAAUCCUCGCUUCCAACGAGGGAGGCAAGCUGAGAGUGACCAACCACUUGGCAGCAAAGGGGGGGGACCUGCCGAUACACACAACAACCCAGAUGGACGGCGAAGGGAUCGCGCCGGGCGGAAAGUGACACGGUCGCUUCGGUCGGAUUCCUCAGGUGACGUGCUCGAAGUGGCAAGGUUGCAGGCAUGAAGAACAGACUCGUGGCUGCCGGGGGCUCAGGGCGAUGGGGGCAGAGGACGCAGGGGCAGGACCAAGCUCGGAACCCGGGGAGCUCCCGCGGCAUCUUUGAUGGUUCCGGAGUAAGAAGGGUAAGGAGCCCCCGCGUGGUGCAGGCUCAAAGCAGCACGCGACAGACGCGGGCCAGCCCGCCGGGCACCUGGACGACGCUACGGGAGAACCCGCGCCCGGGACGCCCCACUCUGGGUUCUGCUUUCCCCGCCACAGCACCUCAGCACCUCCUUCCCACUGUGACCUCCCCUCUCGUGUCCUUCAGGUUCGGGGACUGAGACCUUUUCACUCCUUUCCUGCCAUUCACUGGGGCUUCGGGAGAGAGAGGAGAUAAGUGUGUUCUCUACACCUCCUUACAUCGGAAAUUGUGAAUUUUUAGGUUCUGACAUCUCGUUAGUAUCAAGUGACCUGAAGGACGAGAGACAGAUGAGACAAGCAAGCAGUCCGAGGCCAGGCUCCGUUCGUGACGGGGAGGACCUUCCCACCGUCUCCUCCUGGACCGCACUCUGCUCUCACAAGGGAGCACGCCCUCUCCAUCCGCUGGAGGGACCCCUUUGAUGGGGAACACCCUGUGCAGGACACAGUCCCCCGCAGGCCUGGGACCACUGUCUCUGGAGGGGCUGCUCACUAGGCUGGGCUUUCAGAACGGUCUGCAUUCCCCAACCCACUCAUCCCAGACUGUGCAGAGGACACGAUUUGUGCUCAACACCUGCUUUCCCUGGGCGUCUGGAAUGUGGGGGGUGCUAGGCAGAGGUGCCGAUGUCACCAGCCCGGGACUAACCCCGGGCGCUGAGCCCCUAACAGCUUCGCAGGACAGAAGCCCGGCACACAGCUGCAUUCUCCCCUGCUGGCAUGCCCCUGGGGAGGGAGACGGGGGACAGAGGUCGCAAGCCUGCACACGGAGUCUCGGACCCGCCCGUGUGCUUUCCCCGUUGAGCCUGCUGGGCGUCCCUGCGCUGUGACUGCUGUCCUAGAACACGUACGGCGACCCCAAGGACCCCCAGAAACAAGUCUACACCGCCGUCUCUGACUCGAAUCAGAACCCCAUCUCUCUGGGGUCUGCCGGCCCCCGGGGAGCACCUUCCUUUGCUUUCCUUCUGGUUCCACGUGGGGAGCACAAGGGGGCCCAUGAGCAUCAGGGCUGUGGGCACACUGCCCACCUCCACGCCAGGCCCCCGCCACCAGGAUCCCAGCCGCUCCGCACACCCCGCUCUUGCCACGUGGGGUCCCAAAUCUUUGAGAAGGAAAACAGGAGGCAAGGAGAUGCCCUGUUCUUCCAUGAGGGAGCACCAGAAAACAAUCUGCGAGCCACUGGUGCUUCCAGACAAAGACCCAGGAACCGGCCGCCCCCAGGACGUCCAACACGCCUGGUGAGUUCCCGGGCAGCAGAUGACCCACUGCUGAAGCGCCCACUCGGAUGCACCUCGCCAAGCUCCCCGCCUUCCCUGUGUUUCCUGCCGUCCCCGGGACCUCCGGGCACCUGCUUCAUCUCUCCAGCUAUAAACCCCAUCCCCGGCUUCCAUCAGGUUCUGAAACAUAAUUUAGGAAACUGCUUUAGGUCAUAAGACGCAGCUAAUCAGGACACCGGUACUUCAUUCUAGUUGCCGUUAACCAAUCACACGGUACCCUACAAGAAAAUGUCUCUGGGUGCCCCCACCUUUCCGGCCAUCACUGGGUCCCGUGCUUCCCAGCCCUCAAUGUAACAUCCGAGCGACAGCCCCCUGUAGCAGCCCCUUGCGUCAAACCUGAUGCUAGUAAACAUGCUCCUGGAAAUUUCCAGAACCAAAGGCAUCCUGAGCAGUAUUUCUUCAAAGCAGGAAAGGGGCACUGAAGGGGUAGGAAGCCCCGUUUCAGCCUCAAAUCCCAGCUGAGUCCCCCGGCCCUCGCUGACCCUUGUCAGCAUCCUCCACUGGGUCUUAGCUCAGAGGAAAGAAGGGGCCCGGGGUCGGGUGGGUGGCGGCUCCGGGCCCCGCGAGCCGGAGACCAGACUGCUGCGUAAGUCUUCGGAUCGACUUUGAAGCCAGCGAGUCCUGCACGGGCCGUCCGGGUGACACUCAUUCCCUCGGAGGCUAUUUUCAUAAGCUUCCUGUAAACUAACGAAGACUGGAAACCUCGACGCAAAACGCUCUCUGUACGUCGUCAGAGCGAGCCGCGUGGCUGGGAAGCUCCGAUGACGCACCGAGUACGUUGGCACUCCCUGCCAAGCUGCCAGCUGGAACAUGCUGGCAACCCUCUCUGGCUCAAGGGUCUGCUCCCAGGACGGAGAAAUGAGGACGCGGCCCUGACGCGGAGCCACGCCGGAGGCGUGAACCCCAGCCCCUCAGUGACGACGGCGGGCAGAUCACAGGGCCCCGGGAACGGCCUCGUCGGCGGUGAUCCCUCCUGCCUGAGCCGCGGCCUAAUCUCUCUGCCUUCCCCACGCGGGCUCCUCCCCCCAGGUCAUUCGACACGCGGGGGCUGGAUGCUAUUCGUCCACCGUGGGAAGCGGAAGACGGAUUCUGCCGCCACGAAGCCACACGAUCUCGGGGCGCGAGGGACUGGUAAAAAGACAGAUAGGUGGAGCGUGUUGGGGAGAGAGGUUACUUCCCCGUGUGGUCAGGGAGGGCCGCACAGCAGAGCCGGCAUCCGCCACAAGAGCUCAGUAGGCGACAAGGAAGGCGGAGGAGAAAGAGCGUGGCCGGUCGGUGGCACAGCACGUCUCGGGCGCGGCUGGGGGGGAGGCGCUGACACAAAUCAUACUCCUCAAGGAACGGCGAGGACGUGCCACACCUCCCAGGAGGUUCCUCCGAACCUGCCCGCAGCGCCCCCAAGCUCCCGGGCGGCCCUGCUGGGCAGCCAGCGGCCCAGGAGGGAAACGUCCAGCCGUGUGGAGGCGUAGAGGCCACCGCUGCCCGCGGAGGUGGUCUUGGCCCCACAAGUAGGAGAGGCAAGGUGGGGGGCGGUUCCUGAGGGUGAGGUGGCCCGGUCUGCAUUUGGCACCGACCUCAGCGAGGGGCCCAGGCUGGGCGUUCUCCCUGAGUCCCUGUAGAGCCCCCACGGCACUGUGACACCCUCUACUCCAGAGGGAAAUGAACAUUCUAGAGGCAUGCAACGUGGCGCCCAAAUGAGCACGUUCAAGUCCAAGUGCCCCUGCGGAGCGGUCCCCUGAUGACCCUGGAUGAGUCACCUAAGCUCUCUGCACCCCACCUGCAGGACGCAUGAGGCAAAGCUGCUCGCCCACAGACAGCUGGACGGGCACGUGGGGCUGCCGCAAGCGUCCGAGGCCACGCGGACACGGGCUGGGCCACUGAGGCCACACAGACACACAGACAAGGGACUGUGCCCCCCGAGGCCACACAGACACGGGACUGGGCCCCCCGAGGCCACGCGGACACAGACUGGGCCCACUGAGGCCACACACACACACAGGACUGGGCCCCCCAAACCACACAGAUACAGACACACACACACACACACACACACACACACACACAGCACUGGGCCCCCCAAGGCCACACAGAUACAGACACACACACACACACACACACACACACACACACACACACACACGGGACUGGGCCCGCGAGGCCACGAAGACAGGACUGGGCUCGCUGAAGCCAUGCAGACACGGGCUGUGCCUGCCCAGGCCACACAUGCACGGACACAACACACACAGACACACACACAUACCAACGGAGCCCGCCGAGGCCCCGGCCCGUGGGAACAGGGGGAGGGGUGGCCACACUAACAGGCCCCUUACCCAGCGUCAGACAGUUUGGAGCUCUCCACAAAGUACAUGCAUUCCUUCUUCUUGAUAUUUUCGGGGAUCCACGAACUGAGACUUUCUUGCUGAGGAUAAAAAGGGCGCUUUGAGAUCCCCGGGCAGUCAUAGCAACACUGUUCGGGACAGCAAACCCUCCGCCACUCCUAGAUACGCCUGGGCUCCCUGUCGAGCUACACGGGACUUUUCCAGAAGGCGUGAGCGGGGCGGGGGUGCCCGGCCCCGGCUCUCAGGUGUGGGAGGAACAGCCCUGUGGGACCUCUUCCUCCUUUGCCCUACUUAAGUAGCACGGCACUUUUCAGUUUCUCUGUCAAUGCUGCCUUCCUCGGGAAUAAAGCGGUGCGGCGGGUAGGGGUGUGGACACCUGCCUCUGUCCUGACGAGACGGCAGGCCAACGCCCUCCCGCCACCUGACCAGGGGCCGAGGGAGUCAAACAUGCCCUCAACAGUCUUGUCGCGGGCCUUGGGGAAUCUAGCCCAGGACGUCGGUGGUGUUCAGGGCCCUCCAGUGACACUGGAGACGUGAAGUCAUCGCACAGUGAGGUCAGGGGUGACGGCUUCCAGCGAGUCUGCCCGGGACGGGGUUGCAGUGCUUGCCUAACGCCCUCCCAACCAGACCAAGAACAGGAAGGGGCGUGCGAUGCAAGGAGGUGGCGGACCUGGCCACUGACCAUUUUCUCCAGGUCCCCUUUCCCCGGCUCAGCCGAGCCUCUGCCCAAGCAAGAAACACACCCAUCCCUGGGUGGUCGCCGUGCCCCACCAGGGCUCUGGGGGACCCGGCGGAGGGGGGCCCUGCUGGCCACCGGAAGCCUACC
Long non-coding RNA from Felis catus (domestic cat), 5914 nucleotides. RefSeq lists it as uncharacterized. The transcript has 3 exons. The record is from RefSeq and is a predicted model, not a curated record. Lineage: Eukaryota; Metazoa; Chordata; Mammalia; Carnivora; Felidae.